AAACCAUGAUGAGGACACUCUAAGAGGAUGUCUUUGAAACGUUCCAUACAUCUACAGAAUGAUUCAUUGGGUCUUUGGCAAAACUGAAAAAUGUCGUUCAUCAUCUU
Cephalotus follicularis is the source of this 107-nucleotide small nucleolar RNA. It matches the Rfam family "Plant small nucleolar RNA R71". Rfam says of the family: R71 is a member of the C/D box family of snoRNAs containing the C (UGAUGA) and D (CUGA) box motifs. Multiple nearly identical copies of this snoRNA have been identified in Arabidopsis, and it is thought to function as a 2'-O-ribose methylation guide for 18S ribosomal RNA. NCBI's taxonomy places the organism in Eukaryota, Viridiplantae, Streptophyta, Magnoliopsida, Oxalidales, Cephalotaceae. The record is from Rfam.